RNAcentral lists this ribosomal RNA (446 nucleotides) under uncultured bacterium. Its description in RNAcentral is "bacterial SSU rRNA". It matches the Rfam family "Bacterial small subunit ribosomal RNA", at positions 329 to 792 of the family's 1533-position model. The record is from RNAcentral.
UUCCAGACUCCUACGGGAGGCAGCAGUGGGGAAUAUUGCACAAUGGGGGAAACCCUGAUGCAGCGACGCCGCGUGAGCGAUGAAGUAUUUCGGUAUGUAAAGCUCUAUCAGCAGGGAAGAAGAUGGCGGUACCUGACUAAGAAGCCCCGGCUAACUACGUGCCAGCAGCCGCGGUAAUACGUAGGGGGCAAGCGUUAUCCGGAUUUACUGGGUGUAAAGGGGGCGCAGACGGCGAUGCAAGCCAGGAGUGAAAGCCCGGGGCCCAACCCCGGGACUGCUCUUGGAACUGCGUGGCUGGAGUGCAGGAGGGGCAGGCGGAAUUCCUGGUGUAGCGGUGAAAUGCGUAGAUAUCAGGAGGAACACCGGUGGCGAAGGCGGCCUGCUGGACUGCAACUGACGUUGAGGCCCGAAAGCGUGGGGAGCAAACAGGAUUAGAUACCCCAGUA